AAGGGAGCUAGAUGAGUUGGCUUUGGCCCAAGAGAUUGGUUUGACACAGAACUUGAGGGUCAUAAUGGUUGUAGAGGGGGACUCCAACAAAAAACAUUUCCAUAGGGUAGUAACUGCUAAUAGGAGAAGGACUUUUAUAUAGUCGGAAAAGGUAAAUGGGUGAUGCAUGUGGAAAAGGAGGAAGUAGAAAAGGCAAUUGUAGAUUUUUACAAGCGUUUGUUAGAGGUAGCAGAUUGGGGGCCUAAAUUGG
RNAcentral lists this unclassified non-coding RNA (250 nucleotides) under Hevea brasiliensis (rubber tree). The record is from RNAcentral. Lineage: Eukaryota; Viridiplantae; Streptophyta; Magnoliopsida; Malpighiales; Euphorbiaceae.